AACGAACGCUGGCGGCGUGGAUAAGACAUGCAAGUCGAACGGGACAACAUCUGUAGCAAUACAGGUGUUGUUUAGUGGCGAGCGGGUGCGUAACACGUGGGCAAUCUGCCGAGAAGUGGGGGAUAGCUCGCCGAAAGGCGAAUUAAUACCGCAUGUGAUGAGAGACGACAUCGUCUUGAAAUCAAAGCCGGGGCAACCUGGCGCUUUUGUAGGAGUCCGCGGCCUAUCAGCUUGUUGGUGAGGUAACGGCUCACCAAGGCUAUGACGGGUAGCUGGUCUGAGAGGACGGCCAGUCACACUGGAACUGAGACACGGUCCAGACACCUACGGGUGGCAGCAGUCGAGAAUUUUUGACAAUGGGGAAACCCUGAUCGAGCGACGCCGCGUGGAGGAUGAAGGUCUUCGGGUUGUAAACUCCUGUCAUUUGAGAACAAGGUGCACCGGUUAACGUGCCGGUGCAUUGAUAGUAUC
RNAcentral lists this ribosomal RNA (471 nucleotides) under uncultured bacterium. RNAcentral describes it as "partial 16S ribosomal RNA". It matches the Rfam family "Bacterial small subunit ribosomal RNA", at positions 29 to 479 of the family's 1533-position model. The record is from RNAcentral.